AUUGAACGCUGGCGGCAGGCCUAACACAUGCAAGUCGAGCGGAUGAAGGGAGCUUGCUCCUGGAUUCAGCGGCGGACGGGUGAGUAAUGCCUAGGAAUCUGCCUGGUAGUGGGGGAUAACGUCCGGAAACGGGCGCUAAUACCGCAUACGUCCUGAGGGAGAAAGUGGGGGAUCUUCGGACCUCACGCUAUCAGAUGAGCCUAGGUCGGAUUAGCUAGUUGGUGGGGUAAAGGCCUACCAAGGCGACGAUCCGUAACUGGUCUGAGAGGAUGAUCAGUCACACUGGAACUGAGACACGGUCCAGGCUCCUACGGGAGGCAGCAGUGGGGAAUAUUGGACAAUGGGCGAAAGCCUGAUCCAGCCAUGCCGCGUGUGUGAAGACGGUCUUCGGAUUGUAAAGCACUUUAAGUUGGGAGGAAGGGCAGUAAGUUAAUACCUUGCUGUUUUGACGUUACCAACAGAAUAAGCACCGGCUAACUUCGUG
RNAcentral lists this ribosomal RNA (484 nucleotides) under uncultured bacterium. RNAcentral describes it as "partial 16S ribosomal RNA". It matches the Rfam family "Bacterial small subunit ribosomal RNA", at positions 30 to 507 of the family's 1533-position model. The record is from RNAcentral.